RNAcentral lists this ribosomal RNA (1699 nucleotides) under Salmonella enterica subsp. enterica. Its description in RNAcentral is "partial 23S ribosomal RNA". It matches the Rfam family "Bacterial large subunit ribosomal RNA", at positions 1251 to 2925 of the family's 2925-position model. The record is from RNAcentral. Lineage: Bacteria; Pseudomonadati; Pseudomonadota; Gammaproteobacteria; Enterobacterales; Enterobacteriaceae.
UGAAGGUGUGUCGUGAGGCAUGCUGGAGGUAUCAGAAGUGCGAAUGCUGACAUAAGUAACGAUAAAGCGGGUGAAAAGCCCGCUCGCCGGAAGACCAAGGGUUCCUGUCCAACGUUAAUCGGGGCAGGGUGAGUCGACCCCUAAGGCGAGGCCGAAAGGCGUAGUCGAUGGGAAACGGGUUAAUAUUCCCGUACUUGGUGUUACUGCGAAGGGGGGACGGAGAAGGCUAUGUUGGCCGGGCGACGGUUGUCCCGGUUUAAGCGUGUAGGUGUGUGUUCCAGGUAAAUCCGGUUCACUUUAACACUGAGGCGUGACGACGAGGCACUACGGUGCUGAAGCAACAAAUGCCCUGCUUCCAGGAAAAGCCUCUAAGCAUCAGGUAACACGAAAUCGUACCCCAAACCGACACAGGUGGUCAGGUAGAGAAUACCAAGGCGCUUGAGAGAACUCGGGUGAAGGAACUAGGCAAAAUGGUGCCGUAACUUCGGGAGAAGGCACGCUGACACGUAGGUGAAGUGAUUUACUCAUGGAGCUGAAGUCAGUCGAAGAUACCAGCUGGCUGCAACUGUUUAUUAAAAACACAGCACUGUGCAAACACGAAAGUGGACGUAUACGGUGUGACGCCUGCCCGGUGCCGGAAGGUUAAUUGAUGGGGUCAGCGUAAGCGAAGCUCCUGAUCGAAGCCCCGGUAAACGGCGGCCGUAACUAUAACGGUCCUAAGGUAGCGAAAUUCCUUGUCGGGUAAGUUCCGACCUGCACGAAUGGCGUAAUGAUGGCCAGGCUGUCUCCACCCGAGACUCAGUGAAAUUGAACUCGCUGUGAAGAUGCAGUGUACCCGCGGCAAGACGGAAAGACCCCGUGAACCUUUACUAUAGCUUGACACUGAACAUUGAGCCUUGAUGUGUAGGAUAGGUGGGAGGCUUUGAAGUGUGGACGCCAGUCUGCAUGGAGCCGACCUUGAAAUACCACCCUUUAAUGUUUGAUGUUCUAACGUGGACCCGUAAUCCGGGUUGCGGACAGUGUCUGGUGGGUAGUUUGACUGGGGCGGUCUCCUCCUAAAGAGUAACGGAGGAGCACGAAGGUUGGCUAAUCCUGGUCGGACAUCAGGAGGUUAGUGCAAUGGCAUAAGCCAGCUUGACUGCGAGCGUGACGGCGCGAGCAGGUGCGAAAGCAGGUCAUAGUGAUCCGGUGGUUCUGAAUGGAAGGGCCAUCGCUCAACGGAUAAAAGGUACUCCGGGGAUAACAGGCUGAUACCGCCCAAGAGUUCAUAUCGACGGCGGUGUUUGGCACCUCGAUGUCGGCUCAUCACAUCCUGGGGCUGAAGUAGGUCCCAAGGGUAUGGCUGUUCGCCAUUUAAAGUGGUACGCGAGCUGGGUUUAGAACGUCGUGAGACAGUUCGGUCCCUAUCUGCCGUGGGCGCUGGAGAACUGAGGGGGGCUGCUCCUAGUACGAGAGGACCGGAGUGGACGCAUCACUGGUGUUCGGGUUGUCAUGCCAAUGGCACUGCCCGGUAGCUAAAUGCGGAAGAGAUAAGUGCUGAAAGCAUCUAAGCACGAAACUUGCCCCGAGAUGAGUUCUCCCUGAGACUUAGAGUCUCCUGAAGGAACGUUGAAGACGACGACGUUGAUAGGCCGGGUGUGUAAGCGCAGCGAUGCGUUGAGCUAACCGGUACUAAUGAACCGUGAGGCUUAACCUUACA